Bellilinea caldifistulae is the source of this 145-nucleotide regulatory RNA element. The record is from Rfam. Lineage: Bacteria; Bacillati; Chloroflexota; Anaerolineae; Anaerolineales; Anaerolineaceae.
UUGAAUGAGUGCCUGCGGGGUGCCCCAUUCCCCGGAUGGAAAGGCUGAAAGGCGAAACCGGUGCAAGUCCGGUGCUGACGCGCAACUGUAAUUUCGGCAAACCUGCCGAAUAAGCCAGGCCGCCCGCCCGGCAGGCGUUCACCAC